RNAcentral lists this ribosomal RNA (254 nucleotides) under uncultured bacterium. RNAcentral's name for it is "partial 16S ribosomal RNA". It matches the Rfam family "Bacterial small subunit ribosomal RNA", at positions 524 to 776 of the family's 1533-position model. The record is from RNAcentral.
UACGUAGGGGGCGAGCGUUGUCCGAAGUUACUGGGCGUAAAGCGCGCGUAGGCGGGGGGUUAAGUGAGAGGUGAAAGGCUGGGGCUCAACCUCAUGCAGUGCCUCUCAUACUGGCCUUCUUGAGGGCGGUAGGGAGAAGUGGAAUGGCUGGUGUAGCGGUGAAAUGCGUAGAUAUCAGUCGGAACACCGGUGGCGAAGGCGGCUUCUUGGGCUGUUCCUGACGCUGAUGCGCGAAAGCUGGGGGAGCGAACGGG